Molecule: non-coding RNA, 374 nt
Organism: Pelobates cultripes (western spadefoot toad)
Lineage: Eukaryota; Metazoa; Chordata; Amphibia; Anura; Pelobatidae
Source: the annotation of a GenBank genome assembly
AUAUAUAUAUAUAUAUAUAUAAUACACAAGAUCCAGCGCACUCACCUAUCCACUAAACAGCAACUUCAAUGUUGAAAGAUUUUAUUUGUUUUUUUAAAAACACCUAAUCUAGGCAAAAAUAAUGGGGGUUUAGUUACAUUAUAUGAUCAUACAUUGCAUAAGCCUGCCACAACGUCAAUGUACCCCAUCUUUGGCAGGUCCUACACUAACAGCCUAAUGUCUGCUCUUAUGAGAUUAACCUACUUGGGGAAAGAAAUUCCAUCUGAGGCUCUCUGCAGUACAAGGCUAAAUAGGGCCCUGGGAUGAGGCACCUGUGACAGGGAGGGGUGCAAAACCAAGGAGUUGGCUAGACUCCCAAAUAUAUAUAAAACAAG